RNAcentral lists this ribosomal RNA (253 nucleotides) under uncultured bacterium. Its description in RNAcentral is "partial 16S ribosomal RNA". It matches the Rfam family "Bacterial small subunit ribosomal RNA", at positions 524 to 776 of the family's 1533-position model. The record is from RNAcentral.
UACGAGUGGUGCAAGCGUUAUUCGGAAUCAUUGGGCGUAAAGGGUGUGUAGACGGCAUGCCAAGUCAACUGUUUAAUUCUCCGGCCUAACCGGAGGCUAGCGGUAGAAACUAGUGUGCUUGAGGGUGGAAGAGAGAAGUGGAAUUCUCGGAGUAGCGGUAAAAUGCGUAGAUCUCGAGAGGAACACCAAUGGCGAAGGCAGCUUCUUGGUCCAUACCUGACGUUGAAACACGAAAGCGUGGGGAGCAAACAGG